This 497-nucleotide ribosomal RNA is filed under the name uncultured bacterium. RNAcentral describes it as "partial 16S ribosomal RNA". It matches the Rfam family "Bacterial small subunit ribosomal RNA", at positions 29 to 523 of the family's 1533-position model. The record is from RNAcentral.
AUUGAACGCUGGCGGCAUGCCUUACACAUGCAAGUCGAACGCGAAAGGGGGCAACCCUGAGUAGAGUGGCGCACGGGUGAGCAAUACAUCGGAACAUACCCAGUAGUGGGGGACAACCAGUCGAAAGACUGGCUAAUACCGCAUACGACCUACGGGUGAAAGCGGGGGACCGUAAGGCCUCGCGCGAUUGGAUUGGCCGAUGUCUGAUUAGCUAGUUGGUGAGGUAACGGCUCACCAAGGCGACGAUCAGUAGCUGGUCUGAGAGGAUGAUCAGCCACACUGGGACUGAGACACGGCCCAGACUCCUACGGGAGGCAGCAGUGGGGAAUUUUGGACAAUGGGGGCAACCCUGAUCCAGCAAUGCCGCGUGAGUGAAGAAGGCCUUCGGGUUGUAAAGCUCUUUCGGCCGGGACGAAAUCGCUCUGGUGAGUAUCCAGGGUGGAUGACGGUACCGGAAUAAGAAGCCACGGCUAACUACGUGCCAGCCGCCGCGGUAA